This is a long non-coding RNA of Juglans microcarpa x Juglans regia, 151 nucleotides long. RefSeq lists it as uncharacterized. NCBI's taxonomy places the organism in Eukaryota, Viridiplantae, Streptophyta, Magnoliopsida, Fagales, Juglandaceae. The transcript has 3 exons. The record is from RefSeq and is a predicted model, not a curated record.
AAAGUUUAUGGAUAACCCGGAAAUUAGCAGUUCUAUUGGCUUAUUCCAAGUCAAUGUUCUUUCCUAUUUUGUUAAAAACAAAUAGAGCUGAGUACAUGGUAUAUGAUGGUCCUCCCAAUACAACAGAGGAAAUUAUAUAUUUGAAGUAGGC